GCACUGCUGAGGAGUUCCACAAUAGGACGAAACGGCCGUUCAGUGC
This is a non-coding RNA of Schistosoma mattheei, 46 nucleotides long. Lineage: Eukaryota; Metazoa; Platyhelminthes; Trematoda; Strigeidida; Schistosomatidae. The record is from Rfam.